This is a long non-coding RNA of Aedes aegypti (yellow fever mosquito), 253 nucleotides long. RefSeq lists it as uncharacterized. The transcript has 2 exons. The record is from RefSeq and is a predicted model, not a curated record. NCBI's taxonomy places the organism in Eukaryota, Metazoa, Arthropoda, Insecta, Diptera, Culicidae.
UUAAAUAACACGGCACCGCUCAAACGUCAAAUAGUGAACUCGUGCAUUGGUCCAUAGAAAAACAACUGCAAGAAUUGCUAAGUGAAUUAAAUAUUGCGGGCCAUUUAUUGGGAAUAUUUGAUGUGUGGAGUUGAUUUGACGGAUUUGUUGACGAUUACGGCGGAUCAAAUCCGCACAUCCUUGGAACCCACACAAAUCAAGUGGAGGUAUUCGGUUCUCUACGAAUUAAUUUCGUCCUGGCGAACACGAAACG